This 140-nucleotide ribosomal RNA is filed under the name uncultured bacterium. RNAcentral's name for it is "partial 16S ribosomal RNA". It matches the Rfam family "Bacterial small subunit ribosomal RNA", at positions 355 to 507 of the family's 1533-position model. The record is from RNAcentral.
UGGGGAAUAUUGCACAAUGGGCGAAAGCCUGAUGCAGCGACGCCGCGUGAGGGAUGAAGGUCUUCGGAUUGUAAACCUCUUUCAGUAGGGACGAAGCGAAAGUGACGGUACCUAAAGAAGAAGCACCGGCUAACUACGUG